GUCUCCGUAGCUCAGUGGAUAGAGCGUUUGGUUGCGGACCAAAAGGUCGCAGGUUCGAAUCCUGCCGGGGACGCCA
Molecule: transfer RNA, 76 nt
Filed under: Chloroflexota bacterium
Lineage: Bacteria; Bacillati; Chloroflexota
Also listed under: 1 other name
Description: Chloroflexi bacterium tRNA-Arg
Rfam family: tRNA
About the family: Transfer RNA (tRNA) molecules are approximately 80 nucleotides in length. Their secondary structure includes four short double-helical elements and three loops (D, anti-codon, and T loops).
Source: RNAcentral